UACGUAGGGGGCGAGCGUUGUCCGGAUUUAUUGGGCGUAAAGCGUCCGCAGGCGGUCGGCCAAGUUCGGAGUGACAAUUGAGGGCUUAACCCUCAAAGGGCUUCGAAAACUGGUGGACUUGAGGGCUUCAGAGGGAAAUGGAACUCCGGGUGUAGUGGUGAAAUGCGUAGAUAUCCGGAAGAACACCAAAGGCGAAGGCAAUUUCCUGGGGAGCAUCUGACGCUCGUGGACGAAAGCCAGGGGAG
This 245-nucleotide ribosomal RNA is filed under the name uncultured bacterium. RNAcentral describes it as "partial 16S ribosomal RNA". It matches the Rfam family "Bacterial small subunit ribosomal RNA", at positions 524 to 768 of the family's 1533-position model. The record is from RNAcentral.